Malurus melanocephalus (red-backed fairy wren) is the source of this 4360-nucleotide RNA transcript. It is a transcript of the gene named proline rich 16, with no coding region annotated. NCBI's taxonomy places the organism in Eukaryota, Metazoa, Chordata, Aves, Passeriformes, Maluridae. The transcript has 3 exons. The record is from RefSeq and is a predicted model, not a curated record.
GACGGGGCCGGGCGGCCGGCGGCCGCCGCGCUCGCCUGACCUGCGUGCCCCGCUGGCCGCGCCGGGCUGCCCCGAAGGAUGUCCGCCCAGUCCAAGGGGACCGUAUCCUCCUCCUCGUCGCCGUCCGAGGGGCCGCCGGCAGCCUCCAAAGCCAAGGUGAAGGAGCAGAUCAAGAUCAUCGUGGACGAUUUGGAAUUAGUCCUGGGGGACCUAAAAGAUGUCGCCAAGGAACUUAAGGAGGUGGUUGACCAGAUUGACACGCUGACAUGUGAUCUKCAGCUGGAGGAUGAGAUGACAGACAGCUCCAAAACAGACACACUCAACAGCAGCUCCAGCAGCACGACGGCUUCCAGCCUGGAGAAGGUGAAGGUUCGGGGGAACGCGCCGCUGAUCAAGCCUCCCGCGCACCCCUCGGCCAUCCUGACGGUGCUGCGCAAGCCGAACCCGCCGCCGCCKCCGCCGCGGCUCACCCCGGUCAAAUGCGAUGAGCCGCCCAGACCGCCCCCCCUGGCCAACCCCCUCAAGACUAAUGGCACCCUGCUGAGGAACGGGGGCCUGCCCGCGGCGCCCGGCCGCAUUCCCAACGGAGACAUGUGYUGUAUAGCGAGCAGUAACCUGGAGAAGGCGGUGAUGCAGCCGCUGCUGCACAGAGCGGACAAGGAGCGCUGUCCGCAGGCGGGAGCGAGGGAGCGGGUGCGCUUCAGCGAGAAGGUGCAGUACCACGGCUACUGCCCCGACUGUGACGUUCGGUACAACAUUAAAAACAGGGACGUGCACUUGCACAGCGAGUCGGCCCGUGGUGCCGGAAAGCUGCCGCACCAGUGCCCUCCUCUGCCGCCUCCACCACCUCCGUUGCCUCCGUUUCUUCUGGAAAAUGGAGGGUUGGGGAUAAGUCCCAGUAAUAGCUUUCCUCCUCCGAGACCUGCAACUGUGCCUCCACAAACUGCGCCAAAACCCCAGAAGACCAUCUUGAGGAAAUCAACCACUACAACAGUGUGAAGUAUGCCCCUUGUAAUAACUCUUUGUUUUUUCCUAUAUAUAAACAUAAAUAGGUAAUGAGCACUUUCUACUUGAGCAAUAAAAAGACCCAAUGUAUUACACCCUGUGUCCAGUGAAGUGGCAUAAAAAUCACAUGCACCUUCAGGCUUGAAGGAAUAUCUAUAUUUGGAGGCACGUCAAUUAAUUUCUUGCAUAUCAGAUUCAUCAUUGUGACUUCUUGCAGGCCAGAUCUGAGAAGUGACCAGGAACCUGACCCUUAGUGGAGAAUGGAAAAACCCUUCAAGUCAGAGCCCAGCUGAUCACUGGUGUAAUCUGCAUUGAACCAUCUUUUUCAGAUCUGACAGCUACAAGCUGAGUCCUGGCAAAAGCCACAGCCUUAAAUUCCAUUCAGUGGGAAAGAAGGAUAAGAGAACUAAAUGUCUUGCCCCAAUGCAGAAACCGCUGUCUCCAAGCCUGACACCCGAGUUCUGUGCUGAGCAACCAGAGUACCAAACAACGAGUUUUUUAUGGGUACAGCCAGCAUCCACAAAUAUUUCAAUAUGUAGCCAAAAGGAGAAGCAAAGCACUCAUGUGAUUUCAGAAAGUGAAUACAUUUAUCAUAACAGAGGAAUGUUACUGUCUGAGGGGAAGAAGACCUCUGUCAUCCCUUGUAUAUAUUCAAAGCCAUACAGGAACAGGGCAUAAGUGAAGUUCAGUCACCUGAAAGGAUGCUGUCUCCUGUCCUCCACCCAACUUUGAGGAAGUUCCACUCCUAGAGAUUGCAUCUCGAUGCACUUCUAAUAUUUGCACUGUCCCCUCCAUUCAGGGUAAUGAURUGUGCCACCAUUUGCACAGAUGGCCCCAGGAGAUUUUUCACCACAACAAGCUAUACUUUGCCAGGGCUCCAAAAGGAAUUAAAAAGUUAGAACUGAAGAAAGACAUUUAUGCUCUCUUUCACUAUGGGGAUCUCUUCACAGAAAGGACUAUGGUCCUUUCUUAGGAUGAAAUAAAUACGUGCAUAUACAUACAUAUAUACAUAUGUAUAUAUAUGAAAAAAGCAGCAACAUGGUAAGGUGUAUUUAAAAAGGGGAUAUAAUCUUUUUUAAUAGCAUCCAUUUUUUUUUAUCAUAUUAGCAGCUGAAAAUUUUAGUCUAUUGAAUUAUACAUCAGAAAAUGUUCCUAUUGAACAUUGACAUUUUAGUCCCAUUUACUGCUAAAGAAGUCAUUUGUAAUAUGUACUUGACAUAAAAUUUUUCUAGCCAUUUGUCUAUACUUCAUGGAGAAAUCUAACAAAUAAGCAACAUUUUCAGUUUAUUUUUCUAAAUAAAUGUGUUGUUUGUGUUAUUUGCAGUCACUCAUUUUGGCUGGUUUUCAUUAUCUCCAAAAGUGAUUUAAGGACAGAACCAAAACACAGGAAUUGUUUGUUCUUGUUAAGCUGUAAUGAUUUGCUGAAUGAAAGCUUUAAUAUAAAUAGUGUAAUUUGUAAAAUGAUGAAGUAUAUUUAUAUAGGCAAAUAUGUAUGGAAAACAAAAGGAGGUAUUUUAACUCUUAAUUUCAGAACAUAGUUUAUUUUAAUAUCCACAGGAAGAAAUUAAAUAUAUAAUGGGAUAGGGUUUUUAUUAUCRGUGAGUUUUAGUAAGUGAACAUUUGGAUGUUUAAGAAUGAAAUGAAUGUAGUCUAAUAAUGGUGGUUUUCCAAAUUAUACAGAAACCUUUUGCCAGCUGUCUCAUUUUACUUUAAAACUGAUUUAGUCAUUCGGGGGGUUGGGUUUUUCUGGGGUGUGUGUGUGCUAGGGUUUUUGUUUGGUGUUUUGUUUGUUUUGGCAUACUGACAAGACCAUUAAUUUGAUACUAUUUGCUCAUAAUUUGAAAAUCUACACAGCAAGAGGUUGUUUCUUAGAACAAUCAACACUUUACAGUGAAGAACAGUCAUUGUUACCCAUCUAAUGCAGUGUUUUGUUGUUGUUAUUGAACACUUCAGUGCUAGGGCUGUUUUGAGUAAAAAAAAUUUUUUUUUUAGUCCAGUAGCCUAUGUGUAAUUUUAAGAGAAAUGUAGUGCAUUUGGUCCCCAGUUCAUUUAAAUCAUUAAUCUUAAAUCCAGUUAUAUGUAUCUGAUUUAUAAAGUUGAAUAGACUUUUCUUUCAGUUCAUUGCUUUAGGGAACCAUUUAAGUGGUCACUAACAGAAAAAAAUACCUUUCAAUAACAAAAGUUAAUAAAAUUAAAAUCUGGGGUUAACUUUGUGAAGGGCAGAUAUCUUACAAGUGUGUUGCUCUGCUCUAAUGUGCUAACAAGUGUUCUGCGUGUAUGUUYGUGUGUGUGUGCACGCAUGGCACCCUUACCUGCUCAUGAAUGAAAUGCCAGCUCUGCUCAAGUAAGUGCCACAAGUCCUGUCACUGCAAAAGAUGCUCAUGUGACUGUAUUUUUUGGUGAAAAACCUGAGCUCUGUCUUUACUUAUGACUCUGAAGCCAUAAACAGCUUAUGAAGUUUGYCAGGAAAUCAGAAAAUUAAAUAAGUUUAUGUAAGACUCCUUCAUUUGGCAAAACUUGGGAUGAUCUUAUGAUUUGACUCUUUUUAUGAAAGUUAGUGGUCAAUUACCUUUGGUGCAAUGGAUAAAUGAAACCUUUGUAUUUGUUAAAGAAUGAUGGCUGUGUUUUGUUCACACGCAUUUUAGCUUUUGGGUGGGUUGUAAUGUUCUUACUGUGGUGUCAUUUCUGUGUCAUUAGAAUACCUUAUUUGGACACACAACUGGCAUGGGCUUGGUUUUCCUCCCUUUUUGGAUAGUCUAUAUUUUAAAAUUGGAAAGCUUGUUCUUUGAAACAAGUAUUCAGUUGUUUAGGGAAGAGAUAAAAGUACUGAAACAAUAAGAAAAUUUCAGAAUGGGAAUUUGAACACUUCCAUUAUUGCCUAAUGAUAACACUUGGCAAAGCUCUUAUUUUUGUGAACAAAAUGCAUUCAUCUGUAUUUGAAAAUAACCCAAUAAAAAUCCAGUGGAAUAAUUUGUUACUACUUGCAAAUACUUUUCUGCUAUGCUGAGUUCCAGAUCAGCUUGUGUGUAAAAUUUUUAUUGCACAAAAUCCACCUGAAACAAUGCACAGUUUUCUUCAGAAAAAAUAUAUGAGAUAUGAAAAAUAAUGACCUGGUCACAGGAGUGGUUUUAUAUUAUGUGUGCAAUGCAAAAAUAAUGAACAUAUACCAACAUGUAGGCCUAAUUUAAUYGACAAAUGUAGUUGGAAGAUAACACUGCAAACCAUAGUUUUCAUCAGUCUAAUGCUGUUAUAUUAGUUAUGCUUAACUGGGACUUCGUGCUGGRAAGUAAAUUUCAGCAUGUGUGCACACAGGUGCCGUGUCAUGUAUCAUGUUUAUUUUACUACAAGUGUCACU